GAGGGUAUAGUUAAAUGGUAGACUGCAUGCUUAGCAUGCACGAGGUCCUGGGUUCAAUCCCCAGUUCUUCCA
RNAcentral lists this transfer RNA (72 nucleotides) under Camelus bactrianus (Bactrian camel). It matches the Rfam family "tRNA". From Rfam's summary of the family: Transfer RNA (tRNA) molecules are approximately 80 nucleotides in length. Their secondary structure includes four short double-helical elements and three loops (D, anti-codon, and T loops). Further hydrogen bonds mediate the characteristic L-shaped molecular structure. tRNAs have two regions of fundamental functional importance: the anti-codon, which is responsible for specific mRNA codon recognition, and the 3' end, to which the tRNAs corresponding amino acid is attached (by aminoacyl-tRNA synthetases). tRNAs cope with the degeneracy of the genetic code in two manners: having more than one tRNA (with a specific anti-codon) for a particular amino acid; and 'wobble' base-pairing, i.e. permitting non-standard base-pairing at the 3rd anti-codon position. RNAcentral also lists the same sequence under 2 other names. Lineage: Eukaryota; Metazoa; Chordata; Mammalia; Artiodactyla; Camelidae. The record is from Rfam by way of RNAcentral.